GUCGGGUUGUUUGUGAAUGCAGCCCAAAGUGGGUGGUAAACUCCAUCCAAGGCUAAAUACAAGCACGAGUCCGAUAGUAAACAAGUACCGUGAGGGAAAGUUGAAAAGUACUUUGAAGAGAGAGUAAACAGUGCGUGAAACCGCUYAGAGGUAAACGGGUGGAGUUGAACUGCUUGUUCUGUGAAUUCAGCUGGUGACUGUAUUAUGAUCUUGGUUAUWUUGAUUGGACAGCGGGGUCUGUGUAGCAGCAGGUCUUUGCCUUCGGGUGAGGAUGCGCGAUUUACUUAUCAAGUAAUGUGCGCCYCGUUUGUUCUUCGAAUCGGUUGCCAGUGCACUUUCUCAGAGCGCUCAUCACGACCGGCACUGCUGUCUGGCUGUURUGGUUAAACCGRUUUGGCAUAGUUCUUGUAGCUUUGUCGARUCGGGAYGGCAGGUAGCUCGUUGGCUUGCUUGUGGUUCGCUGCAGGUGUUYGGCUUUCGGGUGUAAUCAGCUGACCAUGAUGGUUCUGUACAGUGUGUCGGAGACRGCGGCKUGUGGUGUGUGCAUGUGUGGUGGUUUGCAGGCRUCUCUGGGUUUGGUUGCCUUGUUCGCU
This 593-nucleotide ribosomal RNA is filed under the name Lasiotocus choanura. Its description in RNAcentral is "partial large subunit ribosomal RNA". The record is from RNAcentral. Lineage: Eukaryota; Metazoa; Platyhelminthes; Trematoda; Plagiorchiida; Monorchiidae.